Long non-coding RNA from Pleuronectes platessa (European plaice), 305 nucleotides. RefSeq lists it as uncharacterized. The record is from RefSeq and is a predicted model, not a curated record. The transcript has 2 exons. Lineage: Eukaryota; Metazoa; Chordata; Actinopteri; Pleuronectiformes; Pleuronectidae.
GGCAUUAACUGAGGUGACACGCUGGCAUCAACAACCCAUUAGCUUCUUGUAGUGCGGCCACGCCACACCAGAUGAUGAAGUGAAAUGAAGUUGAAUCAGAGUUGAGAAGUGAGUGAUGAUGGAGAUAAAAAGUAGAGGGCAUUUGGUGAAGCAGAUAGACUCAGCGGGAUGACACAGUCUCUGAAGGGCCCAUUAAAACACGGAGGUUCAGGAUAUUUGGAGUGAGUGAUCUCAAAGCACUCGGCUUCUGUUCUUCCUGUGGGAAUAGGUGGAGGGCAACAGCUGGUUGAAGACACACACACACA